RNAcentral lists this ribosomal RNA (439 nucleotides) under Potamometropsis sumaldei. RNAcentral's name for it is "partial 16S ribosomal RNA". The record is from RNAcentral. Lineage: Eukaryota; Metazoa; Arthropoda; Insecta; Hemiptera; Gerridae.
GGUUUUUAGAUUUUACUUUUAAAUCGGGCCUGCCCAUUGAUUAAUAAUAUUAAAAGGCUGCGGUAUUUUAACUGUACGAAGGUAGCAUAAUCAUUUGUCUUUUAAUUGAAGACUAGAAUGAAUGGUUUGAUGAAAAAUAAACUUUCUUAUUUUAAUAAUUUUGAAUUUAAUUUUUUAGUUAAAAAGCUAAAAUUUUUUUAUAGGACGAGAAGACCCUAUAGAAGUUAACUUUCUUUAUAAAUUUUUAUUUUUUGUUAAUAAAAUAAUUAUUUAGAAAAGAAAUUUUUGUUGGGGCGACAUUAAAAUUUUUUAAACUUUUAAUUUUUUUUUCAUUAAUUUAUGUUUUUUUGAUCCAAAAUUUUUGAUUAAAAGAUCAACUUACCUUAGGGAUAACAGCGUAAUCUUUUCGGAGAGUUCAUAUCGAUGAAAAGGUUUGCGA